Molecule: small nuclear RNA, 282 nt
Filed under: Tupaia belangeri (northern tree shrew)
Lineage: Eukaryota; Metazoa; Chordata; Mammalia; Scandentia; Tupaiidae
Description: 7SK RNA (ENSTBEG00000020246.1)
Rfam family: 7SK RNA
About the family: 7SK was discovered as an abundant small nuclear RNA in the mid-70s but a possible function has only recently been suggested.
Source: RNAcentral
CAAUUGAGGGUGAUCUGGCUAUGACAUCGGUCACCCCAUUGACACCAGGGCUGAGUUGGCUGGUCUGACUUGCAAGGCAGCUGCCCCUGUUCUCUCUCGCUGCUCCAUGUGUGUUCCUCCUGAAGAUUCACCCGUGGUUGAAGAGGAUGACCACUCCCAAUAGAAGAGGAUCAUUCUUAGGUCAAGGGUAUACGAACAGCUACACUCCCCUGCUAGAACCUCCAAACAAGCUCUCAAAGAAUCACUGAGAGUGAAGACAGCCUAUAUGAAACUACACAGAGG